AGUGAACGCUGGCGGUAGGCCUAACACAUGCAAGUCGAACGGCAGCACAGUAAGAGCUUGCUCUUACGGGUGGCGAGUGGCGGACGGGUGAGGAAUACAUCGGAAUCUACUUUUUCGUGGGGGAUAACGUAGGGAAACUUACGCUAAUACCGCAUACGAUCUACGGGUGAAAGCAAGAGAUCUUCGGACCUUGCACCAUUCAAUGAGCCGAUGUCGGAUUAGCUAGUUGGUGGGGUAAAGGCCCACCAAGGCGACGAUCCGUAGCUGGUCUGAGAGGAUGAUCAGCCACACUGGAACUGAGACACGGUCCAGACUCCUACGGGAGGCAGCAGUGGGGAAUAUUGGACAAUGGGCGCAAGCCUGAUCCAGCCAUACCGCGUGGGUGAAGAAGGCCUUCGGGUUGUAAAGCCCUUUUGUUGGGAAAGAAAAGCAGCAGGUUAAUACCCCGCUGUCCUGACGGUACCCAAAGAAUAAGCACCGGCUAACUUCGUG
RNAcentral lists this ribosomal RNA (492 nucleotides) under uncultured bacterium. Its description in RNAcentral is "partial 16S ribosomal RNA". It matches the Rfam family "Bacterial small subunit ribosomal RNA", at positions 29 to 507 of the family's 1533-position model. The record is from RNAcentral.